RNAcentral lists this transfer RNA (89 nucleotides) under Jeongeupia sacculi. Its description in RNAcentral is "Jeongeupia sp. HS-3 tRNA-Asp". The record is from RNAcentral. Lineage: Bacteria; Pseudomonadati; Pseudomonadota; Betaproteobacteria; Neisseriales; Chitinibacteraceae.
GCGCGGCUGGACGAGGCCGCGCUGGCGGUGCUGUCGCCGGCGCAGUGGGCGAGCUUGCCGCUGCGGCUGAUCCCGGCCGCCGCGCUGCU